AAAAUGAAGAAAAAAAUAUUUGGGGUGUUCGGGCUUCCUGAAGGUAAUACCCGGGUAUUAGAUUUCAAGGCUAGGGUAAGGUUUAAGGUUUUUGGCGUUAGGGUUAAAAUCACUGUCCAAAACCUUUGUAGGAACUCUUUUCCAACCUUUUGGAGUUAGUUAGACCAAAAAAUAUGAAAAAAGAAAAAAAUAUUAUUGGGGGUUUUCGGGCUCCCUGAAAGUAAUACCCGGGUAUUAGGUUUUGGGACUAGGGAAAGGUUUAAGGUUUUUGGCGUUAGGGUUAAAAUCACUGUCCAAAACCUUUGUAGGAACUCUUUUCCAACCUUUUGGAGUUAGUUAGACCAAAAAAAAAUGAAAAAUUAAAAAAAAUAUAUUUGGGGUGUUCAGGCUUCCUAAAAGUAAUACCCGGGUAUUAGGUUAUGGGGCUAUGGUAAGGUUUAAGGUUUUUGGCGUUAGGGUUAAAAUCACUGUCCAAAACCUUUGUAGGAACUCUUUUUCAACCUUUUAGAGUUAGUUAGACAAAAAAAAAAAUGAAAAAUGAAAAAAAAAUUAUUUGGGGUUCACGGGCUUCCUGAAUGUAAUACCCGGGUAUUAGAUUUUAAGGCCAGGGAAAGGUUUAAGUUUUUUGGCGUUAGGGUUAAAAUCACUGUCCAAAACCUUUGUAGGAACUCUUUUCCAACCUUUUGGAGUUAGUUAGACCAAAAAAUAUGAAAAAAGAAAAAAAUAUUAUUGGGGGUGUUCAGGCUUCCUAAAAGUAAUACCCGGGUAUUAGGUUAUGGGGCUAUGGUAAGGUUUAACGUUUUGGCGUUAGGGUUAAAAUCACUGUCCAAAACCUUUGUAGGAACUCUUUUCCAACCUUUUGGAGUUAGUUAGACCAAAAAAAAAAUGAAAAAUGAAAAAAUAUAUAUUUGGGGUGUUCAGGCUUCCUAAAAGUAAUACCCGGGUAUUAGGUUAUGGGGCUAUGGUAAGGUUUAAGGUUUUUGGCGUUAGGGUUAAAAUCACUGUCCAAAACCUUUGUAGGAACUCUUUUCCAACCUUUUGGAGUUAGUUAGACCAAAAAAAAAAAAGAAAAAUGAAAAAAAAAAUAUUUGGGGUUUUCGGGCUUCCUGAAGGUAAUACCCGGGUAUUAGAUUUUAAGGCUAGGGUAAGGUUUAAGUUUUUUGGCGUUAGGGUUAAAAUCACUGUCCAAAACCUUUGUAGGAACUCUUUUCCAACCUUUUGGAGUUAGUUAGACCAAAAAAAAAUGAAAAUGAAAAGAAAAAAAAAAUAUUUGGGGUUUCCGGGCUUCCUGAAGGUAAUACAAGGGUAUUAUGUUAUGGGGCUAGAGUAAGGUUCAAGUUUUUUGGCGUUAGGGUUAAAAUCACUGUCCAAAACCUUUGUAGGAACUUCUUUCAAACCUUUUGGAGUUAGUUAGACCAAAGAAAAUGUAAAAUGAAGAAAAAAAUAUUUGGGGUGUUCAGGCUUCCUAGAAGUAAUACCCGGGUAUAAGAUUAUGGGGCUAUGGUAAGGUUUAAGGUUUUUGGUAUUAGGGUUAAAAUCACUGUCCAAAACCUUUGUAGGAACUCUUUUCCAACCUUUUGGAGUUGGUUACACCAACAAAAAUGUAAAAUGAAAACAGAUAUAUAUGGGGUUUUCGGGCUUCCUGAAGGGAAUACCCGGGUAUUAGGUUAUGGGGCUAUGGUAAGGUUUAAGGUUUUUGGCAUUAGGGUUAAAAUCACUGUCCAAAACCUUUGCAGGAACUCUUUUCCAACCUUUUGGAGUUGGUUACACCAACAAAAAUGUAAAAUAAAAAAAAUAUAUAUUUUGGUUGUUCGGGCUUCCUAAAAGUAAUACCCGGGUAAUAGGUUAUGGGGCUAUGGUAAGGUUUAAGGUUUUUGGCAUUAGGGUUAAAAUCACUGUCCAAAACCUUUGUAGGAACUCUUUUUCAACCUUUUGGAGUUAGUUAGACCAAAAAAAAAAUGAAAAAUGAAAAAAAAAAUAUUUGGGGUUUACGGGCUUCCUGAAUGUAAUACCCGGGUAUUAGAUUUUAAGGCCAGGGAAAGGUUUAAGUUUUUUUGCGUUAGGGUUAAAAUCACUGUCCAAAACCUUUGUAGGAACUCUUUUCCAACCUUUUGGAGUUAGUUAGACCAAAAAAUAUGAAAAAAGAAAAAAAUAUUAUUGGGGGUUUUUGGGCUCCCUGAAAGUAAUACCCGGGUAUUAGGUUUUGGGGCUAGGGAAAGGUUUAAGUUUUUUGGCGUUAGGGUUAAAAUCACUGUCCAAAACCUUUGUAGGAACUCUUUUCCAACCUUUUGGAGUUAGUUAGACCAAAAAAAAAAGAAAAAUGAAAAAAAAAUAUUUGGGGUGUUCAGGCUUCCUAAAAGUAAUACCCGGGUAUUAGGUUAUGGGGCUAUGGUAAGGUUUAAGUUUUUUGGCGUUAGGGUUAAAAUCACUGUCCAAAACCUUUGUAGGAACUCUUUAACAACCUUUUGGAUUUAGUUAGACCAAAAAAAAUGAAAAAUUAAAAAAAAUAUAUUUGGGGUGUUCAGGCUUCCUAAAAGUAAUACCCGGGUAUUAGGUCAUGGGGCUAUGGUAAGGUUUAAGGUUUUUGGCGUUAGGGUUAAAAUCACUGUCCAAAACCUUUGUAGGAACUCUUUUCCAACCUUUUGGAGUUAGUUAGACCAAAAAAAAAAUAUGAAAAAUGAAAAAAAAAUAUUUGGGGUUUACGGGCUUCCUGAAUGUAAUACCCGGGUAUUAGAUUUUAAGGCCAGGGAAAGGUUUAAGUUUUUUGGCGUUAGGGUUAAAAUCACUGUCCAAAACCUUUGUAGGAACUCUUUUCCAACCUUUUGGAGUUAGUUAGACCAAAAAUUAUGAAAAAAGAAAAAAAUAUUAUUGGGGGUUUUCGGGCUCCCUGAAAGUAAUACCCGGGUAUUAGGUUUUGGGGCUAUGGUAAGGUUUAAGUUUUUUGGCGUUAGGGUUAAAAUCACUGUCCAAAACCUUUGUAGGAACUCUUUUCCAACCUUUUGGAGUUAGUUAGACCAAAAAAUAUGAAAAAAGAAAAAAAUAUUAUUGGGGGUUUUCGGGCUUCCUGAAUGUAAUACCCGGGUAUUAGGUUUUGGGGCUAUGGUAAGGUUUAAGUUUUUUGGCGUUAGGGUUAAAAUCACUGUCCAAAACCUUUGUAGGAACUCUUUAACAACCUUUUGGAGUUAGUUAGACCAAAAAAAAUGAAAAAUUAAAAAAAAUAUAUUUGGGGUGUUCGGGCUUCCUAAAAGUAAUACCCGGGUAUUAGGUUUUAAGGCUAGGGUAAGGUUUAAGUUUUUUGGCGUUAGGGUUAAAAUCACUGUCCAAAACCUUUGUAGGAACUCUUUUCCAACCUUUUGGAGUUAGUUAGACCAAAAAAAAAGAAAAAUGAAAAAACAAUAUUUGGGGUUUUCGGGGUUCCUGAAUGUAAUACCCGGGUAUUAGAUUUUAAGGCUAGGGUAAGGUUUAAGUUUUUUGGCGUUAGGGUUAAAAUCACUGUCCAAAACCUUUGUAGGAACUCUUUUCCAACCUUUUGGAGUUAGUUAGACCAAAAAGUAUGAAAAAAGAAAAAAAUAUUAUUGGGGGUUUUCGGGCUCCCUGAAAGUAAUACCCGGGUAUUAGGUUAUGGGGCUAUGGUAAGGUUUAAGUUUUUUGGCGUUAGGGUUAAAAUCACUGUCCAAAACCUUUGUAGGAACUCUUUUCCAACCUUUUGGAGUUAGUUAGACCAAAAAAAAAAGAAAAAUGAAAAAAAAUAUUUGGGGUGUUCAGGCUUCCUGAAAGUAAUACCCGGGUAUUAGGUUAUGGGGCUAUGGUAAGGUUUAAGUUUUUUGGCGUUAGGGUUAAAAUCACUGUCCAAAACCUUUGUAGGAACUCUUUUCCAACCUUUUGGAGUUAGUUAGACCAAAAAAAUAUGAAAAAAGAAAAAAAUAUUAUUGGGGGUUUUCGGGCUCCCUGAAAGUAAUACCCGGGUAUUAGGUUUUGGGGCUAUGGUAAGGUUUAAGUUUUUUGGCGUUAGGGUUAAAAUCACUGUCCAAAACCUUUGUAGGAACUCUUUUCCAACCUUUUGGAGUUAGUUAGACCAAAAAAAAAAGAAAAAUGAAAAAAAAAUAUUUGGGGUGUUCAGGCUUCCUAAAAGUAAUACCUGGGUAUUAGGUUAUGGGGCUAUGGUAAGGUUUAAGGUUUUUGGCGUUAGGGUUAAAAUCACUGUCCAAAACCUUUGUAGGAACUCUUUUCCAACCUUUUGGAGUUAGUUAGACCAAAAAAAAAUGAAAAAUGAAAAAAAAAAUAUUUGGGGUUUACCGGGCUCCCUGAUUGUAAUACCCGGGUAUUAGAUUUUAAGGCCAGGGAAAGGUUUAAGUUUUUUGGCGUUAGGGUUAAAAUCACUGUCCAAAACCUUUGUAGGAACUCUUUUCCAACCUUUUGGAGUUGGUUACACCAACAAAAAUGUAAAAUGAAAAAAAUAUUUGGGGUGUUCGGGCUUCCUGAAGGUAAUACCCGGGUAUUAGAUUUUAAGGCUAGGGUAAGGUUUAAGUUUUUUGGCGUUAGGGUUAAAAUCACUGUCCAAAACCUUUGUAGGAACUCUUUUCCAACCUUUUGGAGUUAGUUACACCAACAAAAAUGUAAAAUGAAAAAAAUAUAUUUGGGGUUUUCAGGCUUCCUGAAGGUUAAUACCCGGGUAUUAGAUUUUAAGGCUAGGGUAAGGUUUAAGUUUUUUGGCGUUAGGGUUAAAAUCACUGUCCAAAACCUUUGUAGGAACUCUUUUCCAACCUUUUGGAGUUAGUUAGACCAAAAAAAAAUGAAAAAUUAAAAAACAAUAUUUGGGGUUUUCGGGGUUCCUGAAUGUAAUACCCGGGUAUUAGAUUUUGAGGCUAGGGUAAGGUUUAAGGUUUUUGGCGUUAGGGUUAAAAUCACUGUCCAAAACCUUUGUAGGAACUCUUUUCCAACCUUUUGGAGUUAGUUAGACCAAAAAAUAUGAAAAAAGAAAAAAAUAUUAUUGGGGGUUUUCGGGCUCCCUGAAAGUAAUACCCAUGUAUUAGGUUUUGGGACUAGGGAAAGGUUUAAGGGUUUUGGCGUUAGGGUUAAAAUCACUGUCCAAAACCUUUGUAGGAACUCUUUUCCAACCUUUUGGAGUUAGUUUGACCAAAAAAAAAAGAAAAAUGAAAAAAAAAUAUUUGGGGAGUUCAGGCUUCCUAAAAGUAAUACCCAGGUAUUAGGUUUUGUGGCUAGGGUAAGGUUUAAGUUUUUUGGCAUAAGGGUUAAAAUCACUGUCCAAAACCUUUGUUGGAACUCUUUUCCAACCUUUUGGAGUUAGUUAGACCAAAAAAAUAUGAAAAAUGAAAAAAAUAUAUUUGGGGUUUUCUGGCUUCCUGAAUGUAAUACCCGGGUAUUAGAUUUUUUGGCUAGGGUAAGGUUUAAGUUUUUUGGCGUUAGGGUUAAAAUCACUGUCCAAAACCUUUGUAGGAACUCUUUUCCAACCUUUUGGAGUUAGUUAAACCAAAAAAAAAAAUGAAAAAUGAAAAAAUAUAUAUUUGGGUGUUUCGGGCUUCCUGAAUGUAAUACCCGGGUAUUAGAUUUUAAGGCUAGGGUAAGGUUUAAGGUUUUUGGCGUUAGGGUUAAAAUCACUGUCCAAAACCUUUGUAGGAACUCUUUUCCAACCUUUUGGAGUUAGUUAGACCAAAAAAAAUGAAAAAUGAAAAAAAAAAUAUUUGGGGUGUUCGGGCUUCCUGAAGGUAAUACCCGGGUAUUAGAUUUUAAGGCUAGGGUAAGGUUUAAGGUUUUUGGCGUUAGGGUUAAAAUCACUGUCCAAAACCUUUGUAGGAACUCUUUUCCAACCUUUUGGAGUUAGUUAGACCAAAAAAAAAAGAAAAAUGAAAAAAAAAUAUUUUGGGUGUUCAGGCUUCCUAAAAGUAAUACCCGGGUAUUAGGUUAUGGGGCUAUGGUAAGGUUUAAGGUUUUUGGCGUUAGGGUUAAAAUCACUGUCCAAAACCUUUGUAGGAACUCUUUUCCAACCUUUUGGAGUUAGUUAGACCAAAAAAAAAUGAAAAAUGAAGAAAAAAAUAUUUGGGGUGUUCAGGCUUCCUAAAAGUAAUACCCGGGUAUUAGGUUAUGGGGCUAUGGUAAGGUUUAAGGUUUUUGGCGUUAGGGUUAAAAUCACUGUCCAAAACCUUUGUAGGAACUCUUUUCCAACCUUUUGGAGUUGGUUACACCAACAAAAAUGUAAAAUGAAAAAAAAAUAUAUUUUGGUUGUUCGGGCUUCCUAAAAGUAAUACCCGGGUAAUAGGUUAUGGGGCUAUGGUAAGGUUUAAGGUUUUUGGCGUUAGGGUUAAAAUCACUGUCCAAAACCUUUGUAGGAACUCUUUUUCAACCUUUUGGAGUUAGUUAGACCAAAAAAUAUGAAAAAAGAAAAAAAAAUUAUUUGGGGUUUACGGGCUUCCUGAAUGUAAUACCCGGGUAUUAGAUUUUAAGGCCAGGGAAAGGUUUAAGUUUUUUGGCGUUAGGGUUAAAAUCACUGUCCAAAACCUUUGUAGGAACUCUUUUCCAACCUUUUGGAGUUAGUUAGACCAAAAAGUAUGAAAAAAGAAAAAAAUAUUAUUGGGGGUUUUCGGGCUCCCUGAAAGUAAUACCCGGGUAUUAGGUUUUGGGGCUAUGGUAAGGUUUAAGUUUUUUGGCGUUAGGGUUAAAAUCACUGUCCAAAACCUUUGUAGGAACUCUUUUCCAACCUUUUGGAGUUAGUUAGACCAAAAAAUAUGAAAAAAGAAAAAAAUAUUAUUGGGGGUUUUCGGGCUUCCUGAAUGUAAUACCCGGGUAUUAGGUUUUGGGGCUAUGGUAAGGUUUAAGUUUUUUGGCGUAAGGUUUAACGUUUUGGCGUUAGGUUUAAAAUCACUGUCCAAAACCUUUGUAGGAACUCUUUAACAACCUUUUGGAUUUAGUUAGACCAAAAAAAAUGAAAAAUUAAAAAAAAUAUAUUUGGGGUGUUCAGGCUUCCUAAAAGUAAUGCCCGGGUAUUAGGUUUUAAGGCUAGGGUAAGGUUUAAGUUUUUUGGCAUUAGGGUUAAAAUCACUGUCCAAAACCUUUGUAGGAACUCUUUUCCAACCUUUUGGAGUUAGUUAGACCAAAAAAAAAGAAAAAUGAAAAAACAAUAUUUGGGGUUUUCGGGGUUCCUGAAUGUAAUACCCGGGUAUUAGAUUUUAAGGCUAGGGUAAGGUUUAAGUUUUUUGGCAUUAGGGUUAAAAUCACUGUCCAAAACCUUUGUAGGAACUCUUUUCCAACCUUUUGGAGUUAGUUAGACCAAAAAAUAUGAAAAAAGAAAAAAAUAUUAUUGGGGGUUUUCGGGCUCCCUGAAAGUAAUACCCGGGUAUUAGGUUAUGGGGCUAUGGUAAGGUUUAAGUUUUUUGGCGUUAGGGUUAAAAUCACUGUCCAAAACCUUUGUAGGAACUCUUUUCCAACCUUUUGGAGUUAGUUAGACCAAAAAAAAAGAAAAAUGAAAAAAAAAUAUUUGGGGUGUUCAGGCUUCCUGAAUGUAAUACCCGGGUAUUAGGUUAUUGGGCUAUGGUAAGGUUUAACGUUUUGGCGUUAGGUUUAAAAUCACUGUCCAAAACCUUUGUAGGAACUCUUUUCCAACCUUUUGGAGUUAGUUAGACCAAAAAAUAUGAAAAAAGAAAAAAAUAUUAUUGGGGGUUUUCGGGCUCCCUGAAAGUAAUACCCGGGUAUUAGGUUUUGGGGCUAUGGUAAGGUUUAAGUUUUUUGGCGUUAGGGUUAAAAUCACUGUCCAAAACCUUUGUAGGAACUCUUUUCCAACCUUUUGGAGUUAGUUAGACCAAAAAAAAAGAAAAAUGAAAAAAAAAUAUUUGGGGUGUUCAGGCUUCCUAAAAGUAAUACCCGGGUAUUAGGUUAUGGGGCUAUGGUAAGGUUUAAGGUUUUUGGCGUUAGGGUUAAAAUCACUGUCCAAAACCUUUGUAGGAACUCUUUUCCAACCUUUUGGAGUUAGUUAGACCAAAAAAAAAAUGAAAAAUGAAAAAAAAAAUAUUUGGGGUUUACCGGGCUCCCUGAUUGUAAUACCCGGGUAUUAGAUUUUAAGGCCAGGGAAAGGUUUAAGUUUUUUGGCGUUAGGGUUAAAAUCACUGUCCAAAACCUUUGUAGGAACUCUUUUUCAACCUUUUGGAGUUAGUUACACCAACAAAAAUGUAAAAUGAACAAAAAAAUAUUUGGGGUGUUCGGGCUUCCUGAAGGUAAUACCCGGGUAUUAGAUUUUAAGGCUAGGGUAAGGUUUAAGUUUUUUGGCGUUAGGGUUAAAAUCACUGUCCAAAACCUUUGUAGGAACUCUUUUCCAACCUUUUGGAGUUAGUUACACCAACAAAAAUGAAAAAUGAACAAAAAUAUAUUUGGGGUUUUCAGGCUUCCUGAAGGUUAAUACCCGGGUAUUAGAUUUUAAGGCUAGGGUAAGGUUUAAGUUUUUUGGCGUUAGGGUUAAAAUCACUGUCCAAAACCUUUGUAGGAACUCUUUUCCAACCUUUUGGAGUUAGUUAGACCAAAAAAAAUGAAAAAUUAAAAAACAAUAUUUGGGGUUUUCGGGGUUCCUGAAUGUAAUACCCGGGUAUUAGAUUUUGAGGCUAGGGUAAGGUUUAAGGUUUUUGGCGUUAGGGUUAAAAUCACUGUCCAAAACCUUUGUAGGAACUCUUUUCCAACCUUUUGGAGUUAGUUAGACCAAAAAAUAUGAAAAAAGAAAAAAAUAUUAUUGGGGGUUUUCGGGCUCCCUGAAAGUAAUACCCAUGUAUUAGGUUUUGGGACUAGGGAAAGGUUUAAGGGUUUUGGCGUUAGGGUUAAAAUCACUGUCCAAAACCUUUGUAGGAACUCUUUUCCAACCUUUUGGAGUUAGUUUGACCAAAAAAAAAAGAAAAAUGAAAAAAAAAUAUUUGGGGAGUUCAGGCUUCCUAAAAGUAAUACCCAGGUAUUAGGUUUUGUGGCUAGGGUAAGGUUUAAGUUUUUUGGCAUAAGGGUUAAAAUCCCUGUCCAAAACCUUUGUAGGAACUCUUUUCCAACCUUUUGGAAUUAGAUAAACCAAAAAAAUAUGAAAAAUGAAAAAACAUAUAUUUGGGGUUUUCGGGCUUCCUGAAUGUAAUACCCGGGUAUUAGAUUUUAAGGCUAGGGUAAGGUUUAAGUUUUUUGGCGAUAGGGUUAAAAUCACUGUCCAAAACCUUUGUAGGAACUCUUUUCCAACCUUUUGGAGUUAGUUAAACCAAAAAAAAAAAAUGAAAAAUGAAAAAAUAUAUAUUUGGGUGUUUCGGGCUUCCUGAAUGUAAUACCCGGGUAUUAGAUUUUAAGGCUAGGGUAAGGUUUAAGUUUUUUGGCGUUAGGGUUAAAAUCACUGUCCAAAACCUUUGUAGGAACUCUUGUCCAACCUUUUGGAGUUGGUUACACCAACAAAAAUGUAAAAUGAAAAAAACAUAUUUGGGGUGUUCGGGCUUCCUGAAGGUAAUACCCCGGUAUUAGAUUUUAAGGCUAGGGUAAGGUUUAAGGUUUUUGGCGUUAGGGUUAAAAUCACUGUCCAAAACCUUUGUAGGAACUCUUUUCCAACCUUUUGGAGUUAGUUAGACCAAAAAAAAAAGAAAAAUGAAAAAAAAAUAUUUUGGGUGUUCAGGCUUCCUAAAAGUAAUACCCGGGUAUUAGGUUAUGGGGCUAUGGUAAGGUUUAAGGUUUUUGGCGUUAGGGUUAAAAUCACUGUCCAAAACCUUUGUAGGAACUCUUUUUCAACCUUUUGGAGUUAGUUAGACCAAAAAAAAAUGAAAAAUGAAGAAAAAAAUAUUUGGGGUGUUCAGGCUUCCUAGAAGUAAUACCCGGGUAAAAGAUUAUGGGGCUAUGGUAAGGUUUAAGGAUUUUGGCAUUAGGGUUAAAAUCACUGUCCAAAACCUUUGCAGGAACUCUUUUCCAACCUUUUGGAUUUGGCUACACCAACAAAAAUGUAAAAUGAAAAAAAAAUAUAUUUUGGUUGUUCGGGCUUCCUAAAAGUAAUACCGGGGUAAUAGGUUAUGGGGCUAUGGUAAUGUUGAAGGUUUUUGGCGUUAGGGUUAAAAUCACUGUCCAAAACCUUUGUAGGAACUCUUUUUCAACCUUUUGGAGUUAGUUAGACCAAAAAGUAUGAAAAAAGAAAAAAAUAUUAUUGGGGUUUUCGGGCUCCCUGAAAGUAAUACCCGGGUAUUAGGUUUUGGGGCUAUGGUAAGGUUUAAGUUUUUUGGCGUUAGGGUUAAAAUCACUGUCCAAAACCUUUGUAGGAACUCUUUUCCAACCUUUUGGAGUUAGUUAGACCAAAAAAAAAUGAAAAAUUAAAAAACAAUAUUUGGGGUUUUCGGGGUUCCUGAAUGUAAUACCCGGGUAUUAGAUUUUAAGGCUGGGGUAAGGUUUAAGGUUUUUGGCGUUAGGUUUAAAAUCACUGUCCAAAACCUUUGUAGGAACUCUUUUCCAACCUUUUGGAGUUAGUUAGACCAAAAAAUAUGAAAAAAGAAAAAAAUAUAUUGGGGGUUUUCGGGCUUCCUGAAAGUAAUACCCGGGUAUUAGGUUUUGGGGCUAUGGUAAGGUUUAAGUUUUUUGGCGUUAGGGUUAAAAUCACUGUCCAAAACCUUUGUAGGAACUCUUUUCCAACCUUUUGGAGUUAGUUAGACCAAAAAAAAUGUAAAAUGAAGAAAAAAAUAUUUGGGGUGUUCAGGCUUCCUGAAGGUAAUACCCGGGUAUUAGAUUUCAAGGCUAGGGUAAGGUUUAAGGUUUUUGGCGUUAGGGUUAAAAUCACUGUCCAAAACCUUUGUAGGAACUCUUUUCCAACCUUUUGGAGUUAGUUAGACCAAAAAAUAUGAAAAAAGAAAAAAAUAUUAUUGGGAGUUUUCGGGCUCCCUGAAAGUAAUACCCGUGUAUUAGGUUUUGGGACUAGGGAAAGGUUUAAGGGUUUUGGCGUUAGGGUUAAAAUCACUGUCCAAAACCUUUGUAGGAACUCUUUUCCAACCUUUUGGAGUUAGUUAGACCAAAAAAAAUGAAAAAUUAAAAAAAAUAUAUUUGGGGUGUUCAGGCUUCCUAAAAGUAAUACCCGGGUAUUAGGUUAUGGGGCUAUGGUAAGGUUUAAGGUUUUUGGCGUUAGGGUUAAAAUCACUGUCCAAAACCUUUGUAGGAACUCUUUUCCAACCUUUUGGAGUUAGUUAGACCAAAAAAUAUGAAAAAAGAAAAAAAUAUUAUUGGGGGUUUUCGGGCUCCCUGAAAGUAAUACCCGGGUAUUAGGUUUUGGGGCUAUGGUAAGGUUUAAGUUUUUUGGCGUUAGGGUUAAAAUCACUGUCCAAAACCUUUGUAGGAACUCUUUUCCAACCUUUUGGAGUUAGUUAGACCAAAAAAAAAAGAAAAAUGAAAAAAAAAUAUUUGGGGUGUUCAGGCUUCCUGAAUGUAAUACCCGGGUAUUAGAUUUUAAGGCUAUGGUAAGGUUUAAGUUUUUUGGCGUUAGGGUUAAAAUCACUGUCCAAAACCUUUGUAGGAACUCUUUUCCAACCUUUUGGAGUUAGUUAGACCAAAAAAAAAUGAAAAAUGAAAAAAAAAUAUUUGGGGUUUUCGGGCUUCCUGAAUGUAAUACCCGGGUAUUAGGUUAUGGGGCUAUGGUAAGGUUUAAGUUUUUUGGCGUUAGGAUUAAAAUCACUGUCCAAAACCUUUGUAGGAACUCUUUUCCAACCUUUUGGAGUUAGUUAGACCAAAAAAAUGAAAAAUGAAAAAAAAAAUAUUUGGGGUUUACGGGCUUCCUGAUUGUAAUACCCGGGUAUUAGAUUUUAAGGCUAGGGUAAGGUUUAAGUUUUUUGGCGUUAGGGUUAAAAUCACUGUCCAAAACCUUUGUAGGAACUCUUUUCCAACCUUUUGGAGUUAGUUAGACCAAAAAAAAAAAAAAAAAUGAAAAAAAAAUAUUUGGGGUGUUCAGGCUUCCUAAAAGUAAUACCUGGGUAUUAGGUUAUAGGGCUAUGGUAAGGUUUAAGGUUUUUGGCGUUAGGGUUAAAAUCACUGUCCAAAACCUUUGUAGGAACUCUUUUCCAACCUUUUGGAGUUGGUUACACCAAAAAAAAUGAAAAAUGAAAAAGAAAUAUUUGGGGUGUUCGGGCUUCCUGAAUGUAAUACCCGGGUAUUAGAUUUUAAGGCUAGGGUAAGGUUUAAGUUUUUUGGCGUUAGGGUUAAAAUCACUGUCCAAAACCUUUGUAGGAACUCUUUUCCAACCUUUUGGAGUUAGUUAGACCAAAAAAAAAAGAAAAAUGAAAAAAAAAUAUUUGGGGUGUUCAGGCUUCCUAAAAGUAAUACCCGGGUAUUAGGUUAUGGGGCUAUGGUAAGGUUUAAGUUUUUUGGCGUUAGGGUUAAAAUCACUGUCCAAAACCUUUGUAGGAACUCUUUUCCAACCUUUUGGAGUUAGUUAGACCAAAAAAAAAUGAAAAAUUAAAAAACAAUAUUUGGGGUUUUUGGGGUUCCUGAAUGUAAUACCCGGGUAUUAGAUUUUGAGGCUAGGGUAAGGUUUAAGUUUUUUGGCGUUAGGGUUAAAAUCACUGUCCAAAACCUUUGUAGGAACUCUUUUCCAACCUUUUGGAGUUAGUUAGACCAAAAAAAAAUGUAAAAUGAAGAAAAAAAUAUUUGGGGUGUUCAGGCUUCCUGAAGGUAAUUCCCGGGUAUUAGUUUUGGGGCUAGGGUAAGGUUUAAGGUUUUUGGCGUUAGGGUUAAAAUCACUGUCCAAAACCUUUGUAGGAACUCUUUUCCAACCUUUUGGAGUUAGUUAGACCAAAAAAUAUGAAAAAAGAAAAAAAUAUUAUUGGGGGUUUUCGGGCUCCCUGAAAGUAAUACCCGGGUAUUAGGUUUUGGGGCUAUGGUAAGGUUUAAGUUUUUUGGCGUUAGGGUUAAAAUCACUGUCCAAAACCUUUGUAGGAACUCUUUUCCAACCUUUUGGAGUUAGUUAGACCAAAAAUAUGAAAAAAGAAAAAAAUAUUAUUGGGGGUUUUCGGGCUCCCUGAAAGUAAUACCCGGGUAUUAGGUUUUGGGGCUAUGGUAAGGUUUAAGUUUUUUGGCGUUAGGGUUAAAAUCACUGUCCAAAACCUUUGUAGGAACUCUUUUCCAACCUUUUGGAGUUAGUUAGACCAAAAAAAAAAAGAAAAAUGAAAAAAAAAAUUUUUGGGGUGUUCAGGCUUCCUAAAAGUAAUACCCGGGUAUUAGGUUAUGGGGCUAUGGUAAGGUUUAACGUUUUGGCGUUAGGUUUAAAAUCACUGUCCAAAACCUUUGUAGGAACUCUUUUCCAACCUUUUGGAGUUGGUUACACCAACAAAAAUGUAAAAUGAAAAAAAUAUAUAUUUGGGGUGUUCAGGCUUCCUAAAAGUAAUACCCGGGUAUUAGGUUAUGGGGCCAUGGUAAGGUUUAAGGUUUUGGCGUUAGGUUUAAAAUCACUGUCCAAAACCUUUGUAGGAACUCUUUUCCAACCUUUUGGAGUUAGUUAGACCAAAAAAAGAAUGAAAAAUGAAAACAAAAAUAUUUGGGGUUUCCGGGCUUCCUGAAGGUAAUACCCGGGUAUUAGGUUAUGGGGCUAGAGUAAGGUUUAAGUUUUUUGGCGUUAGGGUUAAAAUCACUGUCCAAAAACUUUGUAGGAGCUCCUUUCAAACCUUUUGGAAUUAGUUAGACCAAAGAAAAUGUAAAAUGAAGAAAAAAAUAUUUGGGGUGUUCAGGCUUCCUAGAAGUAAUACCCGGGUAUAAGAUUAUGGGGCUAUGGUAAGGUUUAAGGUUUUUGGCAUUAGGGUUAAAAUCACUGUCCAAAACCUUUGUAGGAACUCUUUUCCAACCUUUUGGAGUUAGUUAGACCAAAAAAAAAUGUAAAAUGAAAAAAAAAAAUAUUUGGGGUGUUCGGGCUUCCUAAAAGUAAUACCCGGGUAUUAGGUUAUGGGGCUAUGGUAAGGUUUAAGGUUUUUGGCGUUAGGGUUAAAAUCACUGUCCAAAACCUUUGUAGGAACUCUUUUCCAACCUUUUGGAGUUAGUUAGACCAAAAAAUAUGAAAAAAGAAAAAAAUAUUAUUGGGGGUUUUCGGGCUCCCUGAAAGUAAUACCCGGGUAUUAGGUUUUGGGGCUAUGGUAAGGUUUAAGUUUUUUGGCGUUAGGGUUAAAAUCACUGUCCAAAACCUUUGUAGGAACUCUUUUCCAACCUUUUGGAGUUAGUUAGACCAAAAAAAAAUGAAAAAUUAAAAAACAAUAUUUGGGGUUUUCGGGGUUCCUGAAUGUAAUACCCGGGUAUUAGAUUUUAAGGCUAGGGUAAGGUUUAAGGUUUUUGGCGUUAGGGUUAAAAUCACUGUCCAAAACCUUUGUAGGAACUCUUUUCCAACCUUUUGGAGUUAGUUAGACCAAAAAAAAAUGAAAAAUUAAAAAACAAUAUUUGGGGUUUUCGGGGUUCCUGAAUGUAAUACCCGGGUAUUAGAUUUUAAGGCUAGGGUAAGGUUUAAGGUUUUUGGCGUUAGGGUUAAAAUCACUGUCCAAAACCUUUGUAGGAACUCUUUUCCAACCUUUUGGAGUUAGUUAGACCAAAAAAAAAAAGAAAAAUGAAAAAAAAAUAUUUUGGGUGUUCAGGCUUCCUAAAAGUAAUACCCUGGUAUUAGGUUAUGGGGCUAUGGUAAGGUUUAAGGUUUUUUGGCGUUAGGGUUGAAAUCACUGUCCAAAACCUUUGUAGGAACUCUUUUUCAACCUUUUGGAGUUAGUUAGACCAAAAAAAAAUGAAAAAUGAAGAAAAAAAUAUUUGGGGUGUUCAGGCUUCCUAGAAGUAAUACCCGGGUAUAAGAUUAUGGGGCUAUGGUAAGGUUUAAGGUUUUUGGUAUUAGGGUUAAAAUCACUGUCCAAAACCUUUGUAGGAACUCUUUUCCAACCUUUUGGAGUUGGUUACACCAACAAAAAUGUAAAAUGAAAAAAAUAUAUAUUUUGGUUGUUCGGGCUUCCUAAAAGUAAUACCCGGGUAAUAGGUUAUGGGGCUAUGGUAAGGUUUAAGGUUUUUGGCGUUAGGGUUAAAAUCACUGUCCAAAACCUUUGUAGGAACUCUUUUUCAACCUUUUGGAGUUAGUUAGACCAAAAAGUAUGAAAAAAGAAAAAAAUAUUAUUGGGGGUUUUCGGGCUCCCUGAAAGUAAUACCCGGGUAUUAGGUUUUGGGGCUAUGGUAAGGUUUAAGUUUUUUGGCGUUAGGGUUAAAAUCACUGUCCAAAACCUUUGUAGGAACUCUUUUCCAACCUUUUGGAGUUAGUUAGACCAAAAAAAAAUGAAAAAUGAAAAAAAAAUGAUUUGGGGUUUUCGGGGUCCCUGAAAGUAAUACCCGGGUAUUAGGUUUUAAGGCUAGGGUAAGGUUUAAGGUUUUUGGCGUUAGGGUUAAAAUCACUGUCCAAAACCUUUGUAGGAACUCUUUUCCAACCUUUUGGAGUUAGUUAGACCAAAAAAUAUGAAAAAAGAAAAAAAUAUUAUUGGGGGUUUUCGGGCUCCCUGAAAGUAAUACCCGGGUAUUAGGUUUUGGGGCUAUGGUAAGGUUUAAGUUUUUUGGCGUUAGGGUUAAAAUCACUGUCCAAAACCUUUGUAGGAACUCUUUUCCAACCUUUUGGAGUUAGUUAGACCAAAAAAAAAUGAAAAAUGAAAAAAAAAAUAUUUGGGGUUUUCGGGGUUCCUGAAUGUAAUACCCGGGUAUUAGAUUUUAAGGCUAUGGUAAGGUUUAAGGUUUUUGGCGUUAGGGUUAAAAUCACUGUCCAAAACCUUUGUAGGAACUCUUUUCCAACCUUUUGGAGUUAGUUAGACCAAAAAAUAUGAAAAAAGAAAAAAAUAUUAUUGGGGGUUUUCGGGCUCCCUGAAAGUAAUACCCGUGUAUUAGGUUUUGGGACUAGGGAAAGGUUUAAGGGUUUUGGCGUUAGGGUUAAAAUCACUGUCCAAAACCUUUGUAGGAACUCUUUUCCAACCUUUUGGAGUUAGUUAGACCAAAAAAAAAUGAAAAAUUAAAAAAAAUAUAUUUGGGGUGUUCAGGCUUACUAAAAGUAAUACCCGGGUAUUAGGUUAUGGGGCUAUGGUAAGGUUUAAGGUUUUUGGCGUUAGGGUUAAAAUCACUGUCCAAAACCUUUGUAGGAACUCUUUUCCAACCUUUUGGAGUUAGUUAGACCAAAUAAAAAAUAAAAAAUGAAAAAAAAAAUUAUUUGGGGUUUACGGGCUUCCUGAAUGUAAUACCCGGGUAUUA
This is a non-coding RNA of Xyrichtys novacula (pearly razorfish), 16224 nucleotides long. The record is from the annotation of a GenBank genome assembly. NCBI's taxonomy places the organism in Eukaryota, Metazoa, Chordata, Actinopteri, Labriformes, Labridae.